Molecule: long non-coding RNA, 1174 nt
Organism: Mustela lutreola (European mink)
Lineage: Eukaryota; Metazoa; Chordata; Mammalia; Carnivora; Mustelidae
Exons: 2
Source: RefSeq, a predicted model, not a curated record
AAAAGCAACUAUAAAAUGGGAGAAAAUAUUUGCAAAUAAUAUACAUAAAGAACUCUUUCAACUUAAAAGCAAAAAAGCCCCAAUCUAAUUAUAAAUUGGGUAGAGGAUCUGAAUACACAUUUCCCCAAAGCAUCCAUACCAGUGACCAACAGGCCCAUGCAAAGUACUCGAUAUCACUAAUCAUUAAGACAAAGCAAAUCCAAUCCAAAACUGACAUAUCACUUUACACUUGUUAGGACGGUAUUAUCAAAUAGACAAGAAAUAACAGGGGUUGUUUUCAGGGAUGUGACAAAAAGAACCCUUAUGCGCUAUAGGAGUGAAAGUAAAUUGGUGCAGCCACUAUGAAAAACAGUGUGAAAAUUUCUCAAAAGGAUUAAAAAUAGACAUAUCACAGGAUCUGGGGAUUCUACUUUUGGGUAUUUAAACAAAGAAAAUUAAAACACUAAUUUGAAAAGAUUGUUGCAUCUUCAUAUUCAUUGCAGCCCUAUUUACAGUAGAGAAGAUAUGGAAACAACCUAAGUGUCCAUCAAGAGAUGAAUGGGUAAAGCAAAGAAGGUAUACAUACAUCAACAAAAAUUAUUUAGCCACAAGAAAGAAUGAAGUUUUUCCAUUUGUGACAACAUGAAGAGAAUUUUAGGACAUUAUGUUAAUUGAAAUAUGUCACAGAGAAAAGGCAAAUUAGAGUGAUCUCACCUAUAUGUUGAACUAAAAAAAAAACCAAAAAACAAAACAAAAAAAAAACCAAAACCCCUAAAGAGCCAAACUCACAGACACAGAGAAGAGAUGGGUGAUUGCCAAAAGUGGGAAGUUGGGGGUGGUAAAUGAGUCUGAUGUGUAUAUAGAAAAAUUAAAUGCAGGUGUUGAAUUAUGUCAAAUAAUAUUUUAUGAUUCUAUGAAGAUGGUCAUAUUUCUUGCCUCCUUCUUUAACUUAGUAUGAUAAAAUGCAUUAAUUAAUUCUUAAAUGUUAAAAUAACCUUGCAGUCUGGGAGUAAAUUCCAAAUAGUCAUGAUGUAUUGUACUUUUUGAAUAUCACUGAAUUCAAUUUGAUGAUUUUUUCUUAAGAAUUUGACAUCUGUCUUUAUAAGAGUGACUAGUCUGUAUAUUUCUUUUGGUUACAGUGUCCUUGUUAGGUUUUCAAAUAAAGGUUAUCCUGGUCUCAUUUUUUACUUACAAA